This is a long non-coding RNA of Cavia porcellus (domestic guinea pig), 1244 nucleotides long. RefSeq lists it as uncharacterized. The transcript has 5 exons. The record is from RefSeq and is a predicted model, not a curated record. Lineage: Eukaryota; Metazoa; Chordata; Mammalia; Rodentia; Caviidae.
UUUUAUGCGUGGGGAACUGAAGCCCUGUGCUGGGAAGACGUUCGGUGGAGGGGAAGCCGGGAGUUAGAGCCGCGAUGCCGGGGCCGGGGUGGUUCCUCUCCCACUCGCCAGGCUGACCCAGGCAGGACGGAGGAGGUGGGGCGAGCGGAGAGGAGGGAGAGCAGGAGCAGGAGAGAAGGCAGCGGGAGAGCCCUGAGGAGAGCUGCUGGCCCCAGCAGGGAGGAGACUGCCCCGCCUGCCCACCUCCUCCUGCUGCGGAAGAGCUUGGGCCUCCCUCUUCACCCCUCUGCCAGGCCCAGAACAGCCCUGCGCUGCACGCCUUGUAAAUUGUUAUGGCUCAAUGAAGAGCUCGUCCUUAAAUGUCACUCACGGGGGAAUUAAGGUGCAGAAGGCAGGAGACCAGCUGCGGGCACCUGCACCGGCUGGAGGAAAGUGGGACUGGCAGGGGUGGCACCCGCAGGACCGGGCGAGGUCAAGAUCUUCUGGAAGGGCAGUGGGCACAGCGCCCGGGGUUCCUCCAAAGAGCCCCCACCCCCUCUGGCGAUUACUGCCUCGACCCAGUUUCGUGUCGCCUUCCUGAAUUUGAGAUGAAACAGAAUCACACGCGCGUGUGCUCUCCUGUCUGGCUUCUCCCAGCCGACCUGGCGGCGCUGGCGUGAUUCAUCCGUGCGGUUGGCAUAGUCACAGCCCAUCCGUUCUCGAAAGGCCGAGGCUGCUCCCCGCUGCCGGGAAGUUCCACCUGGGUCUAACCUCCAUCCCUCACGUUGUGGGUUGCUGUUUCUGCCGAAGUCUGAGGAGAGGGACACGGUAGCAAUGAGGCAGGCGUUUGCAAGGACCUGACGGCGAGGGAGUAAAAGCAGAUGGGUUCGAGACUGUUUAGCAAAUCAAACCAGCAAGACUAGAAACAAAUUCGAUACGGAAACCGAAGGAGAGGGAAGGAUUUCAGAGAGCAGUUCAAGUCCUGGCUCCUGAGAUGAUUCAGAGAAGGGUCCCUCUGCCAGGGAGCCAGUCCAGGUCACCCGGGGCCCACAGCCGACCCCUCAUUUCCUGUUGGUUCAGCCCAGCCCUGCCCCGCCCAGCCCAGGAACCUCAGCCCCUCCGUCUCUGCCCCAAUUUAUAGCCUCAAAACCCAUAAACAGCUUUGUGCAAGGCCUGGGGCUCCCAGGUUGGGCCCUGGACCUCCCACAUUCCGUGGGAUGCAGCACCCCAACUAUAAAAAUCACAAAAAUAAAUGAGAUGGUAUU